UACGUAGGCAGCGAGCGUUGUUCGGAAUUACUGGGCGUAAAGAGUGUGUAGGCGGUGCUCCCAGUCUGUUGUGAAAUCUCCCGGCUUAACUGGGAGGGUGCAGCGGAAACUAGAGUGCUAGAGGGUGGGAGAGGUAAGCGGAAUUCCUGGUGUAGCGGUGAAAUGCGUAGAUAUCAGGAGGAACACCGGUGGCGAAGGCGGCUUUCUGGACAUUUACUGACGCUGAGACGCGAAAGCGUGGGGAGCAAACAGG
This 253-nucleotide ribosomal RNA is filed under the name uncultured bacterium. Its description in RNAcentral is "partial 16S ribosomal RNA". It matches the Rfam family "Bacterial small subunit ribosomal RNA", at positions 524 to 776 of the family's 1533-position model. The record is from RNAcentral.